UACGUAGGUCCCGAGCGUUGUCCGGAUUUAUUGGGCGUAAAGCGAGCGCAGGUGGUUUAUUAAGUCUGGUGUGAAAGGCAGUGGCUCAACCAUUGUAUGCAUUGGAAACUGGUAGACUUGAGUGCAGGAGAGGAGAGUGGAAUUCCAUGUGUAGCGGUGAAAUGCGUAGAUAUAUGGAGGAACACCGGUGGCGAAAGCGGCUCUCUGGCCUAUAACUGACACUGAGGCUCGAAAGCGUGGGGAGCAAACAGG
RNAcentral lists this ribosomal RNA (252 nucleotides) under uncultured bacterium. RNAcentral's name for it is "partial 16S ribosomal RNA". It matches the Rfam family "Bacterial small subunit ribosomal RNA", at positions 524 to 776 of the family's 1533-position model. The record is from RNAcentral.